AUAUCAAUAAGCGGAGGAAAAGAAACUAACAAGGAUUCCCUUAGUAACGGCGAGUGAAGAGGGAUGAGUCCAUAGCUUAAAUCCAAUCCUAUAUGUAGGAUGGAGUUGUACUAUGAAGUUAUUUAUUCGGUUCAAGCCUGGGUAUAAAUCCUUUGGGAUAGGGUAUCAUAGAGGGUGAGAAUCCCGUCUUUGACCCAGGGCAUUGAAGCAUGUGAUAAAAUUAACAAAGAGUAGAGUUGUUUGGGAUUGCAGCUCGAAUUGGGAGGUAGUUUUCUCCCAAGGCUAAAUAUGGGCGAGAGACCGAUAGCGAACAAGUACCGUGAGGGAAAGAUGAAAAGAACUUUGAAAAGAGAGUUAAACAGUGC
This 365-nucleotide ribosomal RNA is filed under the name uncultured fungus. RNAcentral's name for it is "eukaryotic LSU rRNA". It matches the Rfam family "Eukaryotic large subunit ribosomal RNA", at positions 40 to 398 of the family's 3401-position model. The record is from RNAcentral. Lineage: Eukaryota; Fungi.